CCUACGGGCGGCAGCAGUGGGGAAUAUUGGACAAUGGGCGAAAGCCUGAUCCAGCCAUGCCGCGUGUGUGAAGAAGGCCUUCGGGUUGUAAAGCACUUUCAGUGGGGAAGAAAGCCUUGGGGCUAAUACCCUCGAGGAAGGACAUCACCCACAGAAGAAGCACCGGCUAACUCCGUGCCAGCAGCCGCGGUAAUACGGAGGGUGCGAGCGUUAAUCGGAAUUACUGGGCGUAAAGCGCGCGUAGGCGGUCUGAUAAGCCGGUUGUGAAAGCCCCGGGCUCAACCUGGGAACGGCAUCCGGAACUGUCAGGCUAGAGUGCAGGAGAGGAAGGUAGAAUUCCCGGUGUAGCGGUGAAAUGCGCAGAGAUCGGGAGGAAUACCAGUGGCGAAGGCGGCCUUCUGGACUGACACUGACGCUGAGGUGCGAAAGCGUGGGUAGCAAACAGGAUUAGAUACCCGAGUAGUC
Molecule: ribosomal RNA, 465 nt
Filed under: Vreelandella stevensii
Lineage: Bacteria; Pseudomonadati; Pseudomonadota; Gammaproteobacteria; Oceanospirillales; Halomonadaceae
Description: partial 16S ribosomal RNA
Rfam family: Bacterial small subunit ribosomal RNA
Source: RNAcentral